UUCCACUUUGACAUUUAAUUUUUAAUAUUUGUUUAUUUUUUAUUUUAUUUAACCUUUUAUUUAAACUAGGCAAGUCAGGACGGCAUGUAGCCUAGUGGUUAGGGCGUUGGGCCAGUAACCAGCAGGUAGCCUAGUGGUUAGAUCGUUGGGCCAGUAACCAGCAGGUAGCCUAGUGGUUAGGGCGUUGGGCCAGUAACCAGCAGGUAGCCUAGUGGUUAGGGCGUUGGGCCAGUAACCAGCAGGUAGCCUAGUGGUUAGAGCGUUGGGACAGUAACCAGUAGGUAGCCUAGUGGUUAGAUCGUUGGGCCAGUAACCAGCAGGUAGCCUAGUGGUUAGAGCGUUGGGCCAGUAACCAGCAGGUAGCCUAGUGGUUAGAGCGUUGGGCCAGUAACUAGCAGGUAGCCUAGUGGUUAGAGCGUUGGGCCAGUAACCAGCAGGUAGCCUAGUGGUUAGAUCGUUGGGCCAGUAACCAGCAGGUAGCCUAGUGGUUAGAUCGUUGGGCCAGUAACCGAAAGGUUGCUGGAUUGAAUCCUCGAGCUGACAAGGUCAAAAUCUGUCGUUCUGCCCCUGAACAAGGCAGUUAACCCACUGUUCCCCGGUAGGCCAUCAUUGUAAAUGAGAA
Long non-coding RNA from Oncorhynchus tshawytscha (Chinook salmon), 622 nucleotides. NCBI's taxonomy places the organism in Eukaryota, Metazoa, Chordata, Actinopteri, Salmoniformes, Salmonidae. The record is from Ensembl.